CCCUUAGAUGUUCGGGGCCGCACGCGCGCUACACUGAAGGAAUCAGCACGUCUUUCUCCUUGUCCGAAAGGACUGGGUAACCCGCUGAACCUCCUUCGUGCUAGGGAUUGGGGCUUGUAAUUCUUCCCCAUGAACGAGGAAUUCCCAGUAAGCGCGAGUCAUAAGCUCGCGUUGAUUACGUCCCUGCCCUUUGUACACACCGCCCGUCGCUACUACCGAUUGGAUGGUUUAGUGAGAUCCUCGGAUUGGUCCCGGAGCGGCCUCUGGUCGUGCCGGAGUGCCGAAAAGAAUGUCGAACUUGAUCAUCUAGAGGAAGUAGAAGUCGUAACA
RNAcentral lists this ribosomal RNA (330 nucleotides) under uncultured eukaryote. RNAcentral describes it as "partial 18S ribosomal RNA". It matches the Rfam family "Eukaryotic small subunit ribosomal RNA", at positions 1470 to 1796 of the family's 1831-position model. The record is from RNAcentral.